GCCCACACACACACACACACACACACACACACACACACACACCCACACCCCGCGAGGCAAGGAGGAGUUUUUUUCUUCAUUACUUUUUACAAUAAGUUUUCUCAAUAGAUAGAAAAUGAUGACGCUGAGGAGUCAGCAUCCGAUAUUAUCAUUGCUUGUAACCCUGUUUUUUACAUCUCCCCAUAAAACUAGUCUUAGCGAGGAAAAAAAAUCUAAUUAUUCGAAUAAGUUUAUUAAAGCACCCCCUCUGUGGGAACGAGUCAACCAUGAGCCGAGUUUUGUCAACAGCAAGAACAAGGUCAGACAGCAAUUGUCCAUUUGGUAAAACAAAUACCCGUCUCAAAGCCAUAUUUUACCGUUGCGGAAUGGGGGAAAACAGACGGCGUUCGCAAGAAGGCAAUCAAAAAAAAAACAAACCCCCUCUAACUACCGGUAUUGUCAAGAGAAAGAUGCGAAAAACAGAUGCUUCGCUAGACUAGGAUAAAAUGAGAGAAGAAGCGGAAGGGGAGUCGCUAUCUGUGACAGUUCUACCAAUCGCGAGGAAGAAUCCGAGAAUAUUAUGUCAGCAUCCCGUUCAAACAACGCCGCCGAUCAGAGGGCCAUCUCGCCGGAUCUGUUCAUACCUCACCCCGAUUUCUACAUCAAUGAUUUCACGCAAGUGGACUACGAAACAAUCGAUAAUGCAGUGAGUAACAGCAGAAAUCCGGCCGUUUUCCACGGCGAAUUAGAAGCCAUAUCCCCCGCAGAAUCUCCGCUGCCGCCGCAUCGAAGAGAAGACGGCACUAUUUCCGUCUCCGCAUACCGGGAGAACCGCGGAGAAAAAAGUUUUAAAAUCGAAGGUAAACAAUAUGAUGCAUUAUCAGCCAUUUUGUUGAAUAACAGGAUGUGACGGAGUAAUCCGAGUGUGCUAUACCGCCCCUCCCGACCCGGAGCAGAUUUUUAAAAAAGUUUUGCUUUAUUUCUCGACAGAGGUAACCGAGAAUAUACAGACCCCGCCGCAGCGAAAAGAAGAAGAAGACGACGACGACGUUAUUUUCGUCAACGCAUACCGGGAGAACUGCAGGAAAAUACCUUUUAAACCAAAAGGUAAACAAUAUGAUGCAAUAUCCGUCAUUUCGAUAAAUAUCAGGAUGUGGCGGAGUAAUCCGAGUGUGCUAUACCGCCCCUCCCGACUUGGAGUGGUAUAAAGCGAGCUAAAAAGUUUUUUUUUUUUUUUUUUUUUUUUAUUAAAUCUUUCUCUUUUCUGUUUUAUUUCUCGGCAGCCGAGAUUGCGGAUAUACCUAUUCAACCCCCCUCCGCUACAGACAAUUGCGCGGAGGAGCGAGGUAAAUAAAAAAGUUUUUUCAUUCUCGAAAAAUAGGAAGGAUGAGAUUGUUUUCUUAAAUCUCUUCUGUUUUAUUUUCCCCGACAGAGACCGAUACAGAAAAUCAGACUGAAGAAAAUCAGGUUGAGGAGGAACCGUCCAGAUUGCCUCCUAUCAGGAGAGUGAGAGCUCCUCUCGGAAGACUGAGAGGUAAUUGACGGGGGGAUGAAUCGAACCUAUUAAACUUCUCUGCUCUAUAAAAAAUGUAAGGUUUAAAAAAUACAUUCUGUCCGUCUUUUCUUACAGCUCGACGGAUGCUUCAUAAGAAGAGAAUCCUUGAAAAACUCGCUUUCAUGUACGUCGCAACAGUUCGCACAUAUGCAUCGAUAUACAGACACAAGGACCUGUAAAGUAAAAGCAUGUAAAAGUCUGUGAAUUAAGAAAUAAAGAAAAUCAUGUCGGAAGAACACAGCAUUCCUGAGGCUUUGUUGGAAGC
Astatotilapia calliptera (eastern happy) is the source of this 1799-nucleotide long non-coding RNA. The record is from Ensembl. NCBI's taxonomy places the organism in Eukaryota, Metazoa, Chordata, Actinopteri, Cichliformes, Cichlidae.